This 1248-nucleotide ribosomal RNA is filed under the name metagenome. RNAcentral describes it as "bacterial LSU rRNA". It matches the Rfam family "Bacterial large subunit ribosomal RNA", at positions 1634 to 2874 of the family's 2925-position model. The record is from RNAcentral.
AUAUACGACCGUACCGCAAACCGACACUGGUGCGCGAGAUGAGUAUUCUAAGGCGCUUGAGAGAACUCAGGAGAAGGAACUCGGCAAAUUGACACCGUAACUUUGGAAGAAGGUGUGCCCUAUUAGUGUGUAGUGAACAACGAAGCAUGAAUGGGUUGCAAAAAAUCGGUGGCUGCGACUGUUUAUUAAAAACACAGCACUCUGCAAACACGAAAGUGGACGUAUAGGGUGUGACGCCUGCCCGGUGCUGGAAGAUUAAAUGAUGGGGUGCAAGCUCUUGAUUGAAGUCCCAGUAAACGGCGGCCGUAACGAUAACGGUCCUAAGGUAGCGAAAUUCCUUGUCGGGUAAGUUCCGACCUGCACGAAUGGCGUAACGAUGGCCACACUGUCUCCUCCUGAGACUCAGCGAAGUUGAAAUGUUUGUGAUGAUGCAAUCUCCCCGCGGAAAGACGGAAAGACCCCAUGAACCUUUACUGUAGCUUUGUAUUGGACUUUGAACAGAUCUGUGUAGGAUAGGUGGGAGGCUUUGAAGCAGGGUCGCUAGAUCUUGUGGAGCCAACGUUGAAAUACCACCCUGGUGUGUUUGAGGUUCUAACCUAGGUCCAUUAUCUGGAUCGGGGACAGUGCAUGGUAGGCAGUUUGACUGGGGCGGUCUCCUCCCAAAGCGUAACGGAGGAGUUCGAAGGUACGCUAGUUACGGUCGGACAUCGUGACGAUAGUGCAAUGGCAUAAGCGUGCUUAACUGCGAGACUGACAAGUCGAGCAGAUGCGAAAGCAGGACAUAGUGAUCCGGUGGUUCUGUAUGGAAGGGCCAUCGCUCAACGGAUAAAAGGUACUCUGGGGAUAACAGGCUGAUACCGCCCAAGAGUUCAUAUCGACGGCGGUGUUUGGCACCUCGAUGUCGGCUCAUCUCAUCCUGGGGCUGUAGCCGGUCCCAAGGGUAUGGCUGUUCGCCAUUUAAAGAGGUACGUGAGCUGGGUUUAAAUCGUCGUGAGACAGUUUGGUCCCUAUCUUCCGUGGGCGCUGCAGAUUUGAGGAAGCCUGCUCCUAGUACGAGAGGACCGGAGUGGACACACCUCUGGUGUAUCGGUUGUCACGCCAGUGGCAUUGCCGAGUAGCUAAGUGUGGAAGAGAUAACCGCUGAAAGCAUCUAAGCGGGAAACUCGUUUCAAGAUGAGAUCUGCCGGGGCCUUGAGCCCCCUAAAGAGUCGUUCAAGACCAGGACGUUGAUAGGUCAGGUGUGGAAGC